This 347-nucleotide ribosomal RNA is filed under the name uncultured bacterium. Its description in RNAcentral is "bacterial SSU rRNA". It matches the Rfam family "Bacterial small subunit ribosomal RNA", at positions 330 to 675 of the family's 1533-position model. The record is from RNAcentral.
UCCAGACUCCUACGGGAGGCAGCAGUGAGGAAUAUUGGUCAAUGGGCGCGAGCCUGAACCAGCCAAGUCGCGUGAGGGAAGACGGUCCUAUGGAUUGUAAACCUCUUUUGUCGGGGAGCAAAAGACGCCACGCGUGGCGUUCCGAGAGUACCCGAAGAAAAAGCAUCGGCUAACUCCGUGCCAGCAGCCGCGGUAAUACGGAGGAUGCGAGCGUUAUCCGGAUUUAUUGGGUUUAAAGGGGGCGUAGGCGGGACGCAAAGUCCGCGGUAAAAGUGGGGAGCUCAACUCCUGCGGGCGGUUGAACCUGCCGUUCUUGAGUGAGCGAGAAGUAUGCGGAAUGCGUGGUG